This 376-nucleotide unclassified non-coding RNA is filed under the name uncultured bacterium. Its description in RNAcentral is "contains 16S-23S intergenic spacer region". The record is from RNAcentral.
UCCGAGUUGACCCCGGCAGUCUCCUAUGAGUCCCCGGCAUUAUCCGCUGGCAACAUAGGACGAGGGUUGCGCUCGUUGCGGGACUUAACCCAACAUCUCACGACACGAGCUGACGACAGCCAUGCAGCACCUGUGCUGGCGCUCCGAAGAGGGGCCGGUGUUUCCACCAGCUUUCACCAGUAUGUCAAGCCCAGGUAAGGUUCUUCGCGUUGCAUCGAAUUAAGCAACACGCUCCGCUGCUUGUGCGGGCCCCCGUCAAUUCCUUUGAGUUUCAACCUUGCGGUCGUACUUCCCAGGUGGAUUACUUAAUGCUUUCGCUCAGACACACACUGUGUAUCGCGUAUGUCGAGUAAUCAUCGUUUAGGGCGUGGACUAC